RNAcentral lists this ribosomal RNA (516 nucleotides) under Platerodrilini gen. sp. UPOL VP0031. RNAcentral describes it as "partial large subunit ribosomal RNA". The stretch from base 379 to 516 matches the Rfam family "Bacterial large subunit ribosomal RNA", at positions 2473 to 2611 of the family's 2925-position model. RNAcentral also lists the same sequence under 1 other name. Lineage: Eukaryota; Metazoa; Arthropoda; Insecta; Coleoptera; Lycidae. The record is from RNAcentral.
AUGUCUUUUUGAUAAUAAUUUAAGGUUUGAUCUGCUCGAUGAUUGUUUAAAUUGCCGCAGUAUUUUGACUGUGCUAAGGUAGCAUAAUCAUUAGUUUUUUAAUUGGAAACUGGAAUGAAUGAUUGGACAAGAAAAUUUCUGUCUUAUUUUAAUGUUAUUUUAAUUUUAUUUUUAAGUGAAAAAGCUUAAAUUUUUUUAAAAGACGAGAAGACCCUAUAGAAUUUUAUAUUUUGCUUAUUAAUUUUUUUUAGUAAUUUUAUUUAAUAUAAAAUAUUUAGUUGGGGUGACUUGAAGAUUUAUCAAAUUCUUUAAAUAAUAUGUUAAUGAUUUUUAAUUUUAAAUUUUAAUUGUUUUAUAUUUAAAAUAAAUUACCUUAGGGAUAACAGCGUAAUUUUUCUUUAUAGUUCUUAUAAAAAGAAAAGUUUGCGACCUCGAUGUUGGAUUAAAAUUAAUUUAGGGUGAAGUAGCUUUAAAAUUAGGUCUGUUCGACCUUUAAAAUUUUACAUGAUCUGAGUU